UACGGGGGGGGCAAGCGUUGUUCGGAAUUACUGGGCGUAAAGGGCUCGUAGGCGGCCAACUAAGUCAGACGUGAAAUCCCUCGGCUUAACCGGGGAACUGCGUCUGAUACUGGAUGGCUUGAGUUUGGGAGAGGGAUGCGGAAUUCCAGGUGUAGCGGUGAAAUGCGUAGAUAUCGAGAGGAACACCAGUGGCGAAGGCGAGUCUCUGGACAUUUCCUAACGCUGAGGCACGAAAGCCAGGGGAGCAAACGGG
Molecule: ribosomal RNA, 253 nt
Filed under: uncultured bacterium
Lineage: Bacteria
Description: partial 16S ribosomal RNA
Rfam family: Bacterial small subunit ribosomal RNA
Source: RNAcentral